RNAcentral lists this small nucleolar RNA (81 nucleotides) under Leishmania infantum JPCM5. It matches the Rfam family "Small nucleolar RNA TBR2", at positions 27 to 109 of the family's 109-position model. From Rfam's summary of the family: TBR4 was one of seventeen snoRNAs identified in Trypanosoma brucei. The record is from RNAcentral. Lineage: Eukaryota; Euglenozoa; Kinetoplastea; Trypanosomatida; Trypanosomatidae.
UGCGAAGACGCAUGUCGCGUAGCCGCCGGCUGUGCGCGCCUGACGAACUACUGUAUUUCACGGGUGAACAAUCUCUGAUGC